GAGAAUUGGGUGGUGAUACUGAUAAUCGCCACGCUACAGGAGAUACGUUCUCCUCACUGUGAGCACGUUCAACGCCUUCCAUAGGCCUUGGUCCACUGUCGCCAGUCUGGUUUGCUGAAUUCGGAGCAUGCCAGAAGUUGUGGUAGUUUGCGUACCUCGACCCAUCCUGACCCGACGUUCCGAACGACUAGCCUGCUCCUGAUCCUUGAUUAGACACCUGCACGGUUUCAAGGGUUAAUCCUAAAGAAAGAAAAAUUCCCAAGGAACUAAUGCUAAAACUACUCCCUAAAAACCGUAAGCGGAACGGACCGGUUUCCUAAUGUGGCAUAAGCGACUCAUUUUGACUCGAUAAAAACAUUUGAAAAAUGUUGCGGUUUAUGAGCAUGAUCGGAAACACGCUCUGAUACCACCAUUUGUAACACCCCCGGACCGUACCAGGCCGGACUAACCCGGUACGUCCCGGGAGCGCCACAAGUAUAGCUCACCGUACCGGUUCAACCAAGAAUCAAGAACAAGUCAAGACUCUCGACCAAUCCGUUCCAGUUUGCUAUGACCUCGAUAACAUGGCCUAAGGCUUCACAACCCG
Molecule: long non-coding RNA, 586 nt
Filed under: Brassica rapa (field mustard)
Lineage: Eukaryota; Viridiplantae; Streptophyta; Magnoliopsida; Brassicales; Brassicaceae
Description: long non-coding RNA (BRAP_LNC008877)
Source: RNAcentral